CCUUACGGCCACACCAGUGUGAAUGCGCCUGAUCUCGUAUGAUCUCGGAAAAUAAACACACUUGGGCUCAAUCAGUACUUGGAUCGGAGACCACCUGUGAACACCGAGUACUGUAAGCU
This 119-nucleotide ribosomal RNA is filed under the name Erpetoichthys calabaricus (reedfish). Lineage: Eukaryota; Metazoa; Chordata; Cladistia; Polypteriformes; Polypteridae. The record is from RNAcentral.